This 360-nucleotide ribosomal RNA is filed under the name uncultured bacterium. RNAcentral describes it as "partial 16S ribosomal RNA". It matches the Rfam family "Bacterial small subunit ribosomal RNA", at positions 338 to 695 of the family's 1533-position model. The record is from RNAcentral.
CCUACGGGCGGCAGCAGUGAGGAAUAUUUGUCAAUGGGCGGGAGCCUGAACCAGCCAAGUCGCGUGAGGGAAGACGGUCCUAUGGAUUGUAAACCUCUUUAGUCGGGGAGCAAUUCCGGGCACGUGUGCCCGGAGGGAGAGUACCCGCAGAAUCAGCAUCGGCUAACUCCGUGCCAGCAGCCGCGGUAAUACGGAGGCUGCGAGCGUUAUCCGGAUUUUUUGGGUUUAAAGGGUGCGGAGGCGGAUUUUUAAGUGAGCGGUAAAAUGUCCGGGCUCAACCCGGGCCGGCCGGUGAAACUGGGGAUGGUGAGUGGGCGAGAAGUAUGCGGUAUGCGGGGUGGAGCGGUGAAAUGCAGAGAU